This 253-nucleotide ribosomal RNA is filed under the name uncultured bacterium. RNAcentral describes it as "partial 16S ribosomal RNA". It matches the Rfam family "Bacterial small subunit ribosomal RNA", at positions 524 to 776 of the family's 1533-position model. The record is from RNAcentral.
UACGUAGGGGGCGAGCGUUGUCCGGAGUUACUGGGCGUAAAGGGCAUGCAGGCGGUCGGACGCGUUUCGGGUGACAGCGGGUGGCUUAACUACCCGAGUGGUCGAAAGACGGUUUGACUUGAGGACGCGAGAGGGACACGGAAUUCCGGGUGGAGUGGUGAAAUGCGUAGAGGUCCGGAGGAACACCGAAGGCGAAGGCAGUGUCCUGGCGCGUAACUGACGCUGAGGUGCGAAAGCCAGGGGAGCGAACGGG